GACGAACGCUGGCGGCGUGCCUAAUACAUGCAAGUAGAACGCUGAAACUUGGUGCUUGCACCGAGCGGUUGAGUUGCGAACGGGUGAGUAACGCGUAGGUAACCUGCCUGGUAGCGGGGGAUAACUAUUGGAAACGAUAGCUAAUACCGCAUAAGAGUAGAUGUUGCAUGACAUUUGCUUAAAAGGUGCAAUUGCACCACUACCAGAUGGACCUGCGUUGUAUUAGCUAGUUGGUGGGGUAACGGCUCACCAAGGCGACGAUACAUAGCCGACCUGAGAGGGUGAUCGGCCACACUGGGACUGAGACAAGGCCCAGACUCCUACGGGAGGCAGCAGUAGGGAAUCUUCGGCAAUGGACGGAAGUCUGACCGAGCAACGCCGCGUGAGUGAAGAAGGUUUUCGGAUCGUAAAGCUCUGUUGUAAGAGAAGAACGAGUGUGAGAGUGGAAAGUUCACACUGUGACGGUAUCUUACCAGAAAGGGACGGCUAACUACGUG
Molecule: ribosomal RNA, 497 nt
Filed under: uncultured bacterium
Lineage: Bacteria
Description: partial 16S ribosomal RNA
Rfam family: Bacterial small subunit ribosomal RNA
Source: RNAcentral